RNAcentral lists this ribosomal RNA (722 nucleotides) under uncultured Brenneria sp. RNAcentral describes it as "bacterial SSU rRNA". It matches the Rfam family "Bacterial small subunit ribosomal RNA", at positions 768 to 1490 of the family's 1533-position model. Lineage: Bacteria; Pseudomonadati; Pseudomonadota; Gammaproteobacteria; Enterobacterales; Pectobacteriaceae. The record is from RNAcentral.
AUUAACAGGAUUAGAUACCCUGGUAGUCCACGCCGUAAACGAUGUCGACUUGGAGGCUGUGGUCUUGAACCGUGGCUUCCGGAGCUAACGCGUUAAGUCGACCGCCUGGGGAGUACGGCCGCAAGGUUAAAACUCAAAUGAAUUGACGGGGGCCCGCACAAGCGGUGGAGCAUGUGGUUUAAUUCGAUGCAACGCGAAGAACCUUACCUACUCUUGACAUCCAGAGAAGACUGUAGAGAUACGGUUGGGCCUUCGGGAGCUCUGAGACAGGUGCUGCAUGGCUGUCGUCAGCUCGUGUUGUGAAAUGUUGGGUUAAGUCCCGCAACGAGCGCAACCCUUAUCCUUUGUUGCCAGCGAUACGGUCGGGAACUCAAAGGAGACUGCCGGUGAUAAACCGGAGGAAGGUGGGGAUGACGUCAAGUCAUCAUGGCCCUUACGAGUAGGGCUACACACGUGCUACAAUGGCGCAUACAAAGAGAAGCGAGCCUGCGAGGGUGAGCAGACCUCAUAAAGUGCGUCGUAGUCCGGAUUGGAGUCUGCGACUCGACUCCAUGAAGUCGGAAUCGCUAGUAAUCGUAGAUCAGAAUGCUACGGUGAAUACGUUCCCGGGCCUUGUACACACCGCCCGUCACACCAUGGGAGUGGGUUGCAAAAGAAGUAGGUAGCUUAACCUUAGGGGGGGCGCUUACCACUUUGUGAUUCAUGACUGGGGUGAAGUCGUA